This 467-nucleotide ribosomal RNA is filed under the name uncultured bacterium. Its description in RNAcentral is "bacterial SSU rRNA". It matches the Rfam family "Bacterial small subunit ribosomal RNA", at positions 329 to 794 of the family's 1533-position model. The record is from RNAcentral.
GCCCAGACUCCUACGGGAGGCAGCAGUGAGGAAUAUUGGUCAAUGGCCGGAAGGCUGAACCAGCCAAGCCGCGUGAAGGACGAAGGUGCCAAGCAUUGUAAACCUCUUUUGUCAAGGGACAAAAUCAGGCUCGAGAGCCUGACCGAGGGUACUUGAAGAAAAAGCAUCGGCUAACUCCGUGCCAGCAGCCGCGGUAAUACGGAGGAUGCGAGCGUUAUCCGGAUUUAUUGGGUUUAAAGGGUGCGUAGGCGGAUUGUUAAGUCGGCGGUAAAAGCCCGGGGCUCACCCCCGGCGAGCCGUUGAAACUGGCGGCCUCGAGUGGGCGAGAAGUAUGCGGAAUGCGUGGUGUAGCGGUGAAAUGCAUAGAUAUCACGCAGAACUCCGAUUGCGAAGGCAGCAUACCGGCGCCCUACUGACGCUGAGGCACGAAAGCGUGGGUAUUGAACAGGAUUAGAUACCCUGGUACG